RNAcentral lists this unclassified non-coding RNA (403 nucleotides) under soil metagenome. RNAcentral's name for it is "partial contains 5.8S ribosomal RNA, internal transcribed spacer 2, and large subunit ribosomal RNA". The stretch from base 2 to 122 matches the Rfam family "5.8S ribosomal RNA", at positions 35 to 154 of the family's 154-position model. The record is from RNAcentral.
UGAUGAAGAACGCAGCGAAAUGCGAUAAGUAAUGUGAAUUGCAGAAUUCAGUGAAUCAUCGAAUCUUUGAACGCACCUUGCACCCUUUGGCUAUUCCGAAGGGUAUGCCUGUUUGAGUAUCAUGAACACCUCAACUCUCAUGGUUUGCCAUGAUGAGCUUGGACUUUGGGGGUCUUGCUGGCCUGUGGUCAGCUCCUCUCAAAUGGAUUAGCUUGCCAGUGUUUGGUGGCAUCACAGGUGUGAUAACUAUCUACGCUUGUGGUUUUCCACCAGGUAACCUUCAGCAAUGGGGGUUCGCUGGGGCUCAUAAAUGUCUCUCCUCAGUGAGGACAGCUCUUUGAACGUUUGAUCUCAAAUCAGGUAGGACUACCCGCUGAACUUAAGCAUAUCAAUAAGCGGAGGA